This 77-nucleotide transfer RNA is filed under the name Bacteroidota bacterium. RNAcentral describes it as "tRNA-Pro". It matches the Rfam family "tRNA". From Rfam's summary of the family: Transfer RNA (tRNA) molecules are approximately 80 nucleotides in length. Their secondary structure includes four short double-helical elements and three loops (D, anti-codon, and T loops). RNAcentral also lists the same sequence under 14 other names. Lineage: Bacteria; Pseudomonadati; Bacteroidota. The record is from RNAcentral.
CGGGGCGUAGCGCAGCCCGGUAGCGCACCUCCUUGGGGUGGAGGUGGUCGCAGGUUCAAAUCCUGUCGCCCCGACCA